AACGAACGCUGGCGGCAUGCCUAACACAUGCAAGUCGAACGAGACCUUCGGGUCUAUUGGCGCACGGGUUCGUAACGCGUGGGAAUCUGCCCUUGGGUUCGGAAUAACAGUUGGAAACGACUGCUAAUACCGAAUGAUGACGUAAGUCCAAAGAUUUAUCGCCCAAGGAUGAACCGUCGUAGGAUUAGCUAGUUGGGUAGGUAAAGGCUCACCAAGGCGACGAUCCUUAGCUGGUAUGUGAGGAUGAUUAGCCACACUGGGACUGAGACACGGCCCAGACUCCUCCGGAAGGCAGCAGUGGGGAAUAUUGGAAAAUGGCCGAAAGCCUGAUCCAGCAAUGACGCGUGAGUGAUGAAGGCCUUAGAGUUGUAAAGCUCUUUUACCCGGGAUGAUCAUGACAGUACCGGGAGAAUAAGCUCCGGCUAACUCCGUG
RNAcentral lists this ribosomal RNA (433 nucleotides) under uncultured bacterium. RNAcentral describes it as "partial 16S ribosomal RNA". It matches the Rfam family "Bacterial small subunit ribosomal RNA", at positions 29 to 507 of the family's 1533-position model. The record is from RNAcentral.